Molecule: small nuclear RNA, 20 nt
Filed under: Arabidopsis thaliana (thale cress)
Lineage: Eukaryota; Viridiplantae; Streptophyta; Magnoliopsida; Brassicales; Brassicaceae
Description: snRNA_12800
Source: RNAcentral
CAGCUAGUACACGUGCCGUU